UUAAGUUAGAAAGGGCGCACGGUGGAUGCCUUGACACUAGGAGUCGAUGAAGGACGGGACUAACGCCGAUAUGCUUCGGGGAGCUGUAAGUAAGCUUUGAUCCGAAGAUUUCCGAAUGGGGAAACCCACCAUACGUAAUGGUAUGGUAUCCUUAUCUGAAUACAUAGGGUAAGGAAGACAGACCCAGGGAACUGAAACAUCUAAGUACCUGGAGGAAGAGAAAGCAAAUGCGAUUUCCUGAGUAGCGGCGAGCGAAACGGAACAUAGCCCAAACCAAGAGGCUUGCCUCUUGGGGUUGUAGGACAUUCUAUACGGAGUUACAAAGGAACGAGGUAGACGAAGCGACCUGGAAAGGUCCGUCGUAGAGGGUAACAACCCCGUAGUCGAAACUUCGUUCUCUCUUGAAUGUAUCCUGAGUACGGCGGAACACGUGAAAUUCCGUCGGAAUCUGGGAGGACCAUCUCCCAAGGCUAAAUACUCCCUAGUGAUCGAUAGUGAACCAGUACCGUGAGGGAAAGGUGAAAAGCACCCCGGAAGGGGAGUGAAAGAGAUCCUGAAACCGUGUGCCUACAAAUAGUCAGAGCCCGUUAACGGGUGAUGGCGUGCCUUUUGUAGAAUGAACCGGCGAGUUACGAUCCCGUGCGAGGUUAAGCUGAAGAGGCGGAGCCGCAGCGAAAGCGAGUCUGAAUAGGGCGUUUAGUACGUGGUCGUAGACCCGAAACCAGGUGAUCUACCCAUGUCCAGGGUGAAGUUCAGGUAACACUGAAUGGAGGCCCGAACCCACGCACGUUGAAAAGUGCGGGGAUGAGGUGUGGGUAGCGGAGAAAUUCCAAUCGAACCUGGAGAUAGCUGGUUCUCCCCGAAAUAGCUUUAGGGCUAGCCUUAAGUGUAAGAGUCUUGGAGGUAGAGCACUGAUUGGACUAGGGGUCCUCAUCGGAUUACCGAAUUCAGUCAAACUCCGAAUGCCAAUGACUUAUCCUUAGGAGUCAGACUGCGAGUGAUAAGAUCCGUAGUCAAAAGGGAAACAGCCCAGACCGCCAGCUAAGGUCCCAAAGUGUGUAUUAAGUGGAAAAGGAUGUGGAGUUGCUUAGACAACUAGGAUGUUGGCUUAGAAGCAGCCACCAUUUAAAGAGUGCGUAAUAGCUCACUAGUCGAGUGACUCUGCGCCGAAAAUGUACCGGGGCUAAAUACACCACCGAAGCUGCGGAUUGAUACCGAAUGGUAUCAGUGGUAGGGGAGCGUUCUAGGACAGUGAAGUCAGACCGGAAGGACUGGUGGAGUGCUUAGAAGUGAGAAUGCCGGUAUGAGUAGCGAAAGACGGGUGAGAAUCCCGUCCACCGAAUGCCUAAGGUUUCCUGAGGAAGGCUCGUCCGCUCAGGGUUAGUCAGGACCUAAGCCGAGGCCGACAGGCGUAGGCGAUGGACAACAGGUUGAUAUUCCUGUACCACCUCUUUAUCGUUUGAGCAAUGGAGGGACGCAGAAGGAUAGAAGAAGCGUGCGAUUGGUUGUGCACGUCCAAGCAGUUAGGCUGAUAAGUAGGCAAAUCCGCUUAUCGUAAAGGCUGAGCUGUGAUGGGGAAGCUCCUUAUGGAGCGAAGUCUUUGAUUCCCCGCUGCCAAGAAAAGCUUCUAGCGAGAUAAAAGGUGCCUGUACCGCAAACCGACACAGGUAGGCGAGGAGAGAAUCCUAAGGUGUGCGAGAGAACUCUGGUUAAGGAACUCGGCAAAAUGACCCCGUAACUUCGGGAGAAGGGGUGCUUUCUUAACGGAAAGCCGCAGUGAAUAGGCCCAAGCGACUGUUUAGCAAAAACACAGCUCUCUGCGAAGCCGUAAGGCGAAGUAUAGGGGGUGACACCUGCCCGGUGCUGGAAGGUUAAGGAGAGGGGUUAGCGUAAGCGAAGCUCUGAACUGAAGCCCCAGUAAACGGCGGCCGUAACUAUAACGGUCCUAAGGUAGCGAAAUUCCUUGUCGGGUAAGUUCCGACCCGCACGAAAGGUGUAACGAUUUGGGCACUGUCUCAACCAGAGACUCGGUGAAAUUAUAGUACCUGUGAAGAUGCAGGUUACCCGCGACAGGACGGAAAGACCCCGUGGAGCUUUACUGUAGCCUGAUAUUGAAUUUUGGUACAGUUUGUACAGGAUAGGCGGGAGCCAUUGAAACCGGAGCGCUAGCUUCGGUGGAGGCGCUGGUGGGAUACCGCCCUGACUGUAUUGAAAUUCUAACCUACGGGUCUUAUCGACCCGGGAGACAGUGUCAGGUGGGCAGUUUGACUGGGGCGGUCGCCUCCUAAAGUGUAACGGAGGCGCCCAAAGGUUCCCUCAGAAUGGUUGGAAAUCAUUCGUAGAGUGCAAAGGCAUAAGGGAGCUUGACUGCGAGACCUACAAGUCGAGCAGGGACGAAAGUCGGGCUUAGUGAUCCGGUGGUUCCGCAUGGAAGGGCCAUCGCUCAACGGAUAAAAGCUACCCCGGGGAUAACAGGCUUAUCUCCCCCAAGAGUCCACAUCGACGGGGAGGUUUGGCACCUCGAUGUCGGCUCAUCGCAUCCUGGGGCUGUAGUCGGUCCCAAGGGUUGGGCUGUUCGCCCAUUAAAGCGGUACGCGAGCUGGGUUCAGAACGUCGUGAGACAGUUCGGUCCCUAUCCGUCGUGGGCGUAGGAAAUUUGAGAGGAGCUGUCCUUAGUACGAGAGGACCGGGAUGGACGCACCGCUGGUGUACCAGUUGUUCUGCCAAGGGCAUAGCUGGGUAGCUAUGUGCGGAAGGGAUAAGUGCUGAAAGCAUCUAAGCAUGAAGCCCCCCUCAAGAUGAGAUUUCCCAUAGCGUAAGCUAGUAAGAUCCCUGAAAGAUGAUCAGGUUGAUAGGUUCGAGGUGGAAGCAUGGUGACAUGUGGAGCUGACGAAUACUAAUAGAUCGAGGACUUAACCAU
Molecule: ribosomal RNA, 2920 nt
Filed under: Streptococcus pneumoniae
Lineage: Bacteria; Bacillati; Bacillota; Bacilli; Lactobacillales; Streptococcaceae
Description: bacterial LSU rRNA
Rfam family: Bacterial large subunit ribosomal RNA
Source: RNAcentral